RNAcentral lists this small RNA (560 nucleotides) under Pan troglodytes (chimpanzee). RNAcentral describes it as "processed transcript". The record is from RNAcentral. Lineage: Eukaryota; Metazoa; Chordata; Mammalia; Primates; Hominidae.
GAGAUGGGUCAGGGAGACAGAAGUAAACUGCCCGUGGAUAAACAAAAUCUUCUCCCAUCCGAGGUCGCAGACAGGAUUUUUAAAAUGGGGGCAUUUUCUUGUUGAUUUUUGCCCUCUUCUCUGAGAUGCCUCAAGCCCCCACGCCCCGCCGCCGCCAAACUUCUCUGUACUCUUUUUAUUAUUUUGCCUUAUUUUGAUUCCCUAGAGGACGGGUACAGCAGACCCAAAAGGGAUCGAUUUGACAGUCGCCUUUGCUGUGUUAGGCCUUUGCGGAGGGUGUGGUGCUAAGUGUUCUUCCAGCGCUGGAGCAAGCCAAAACGAAUUCUCUUCCUUCCCAGCCUUUUGCCCCACCCAUGAAAGUUGUUCUGCUCCUUUGGGAAAUUUUCACUGUUCGAGGCAGACAUUUAUUGCGUUGCUAAAUGAUACCUAGAAGUAACUCAGCCUUUACGAGUCUAAGUGUAAGAGACUUAAAUGAAUAUGACUGUCACACAAAAAAGGUGUGUCCUACUUCAACACUCAACAUUCAAGAAAUAUUUGUCAAAGACCUGCUGUAAGCCAGG